GCAGCAGCAGCAACUUGCUGCUGCUGCAGCUGCUCAGCUGCUCCAGCUGCGCUGCUGCAGCAGCAGCAAGGUGCUGCUGCUGCUGCAGCAGCAGCAAGGUGCUGCUGCUGCUGCUGAGCUACCAGCAGCAGCAGCAGCCUGCUGCUGCUGCUGCUGCUCCUGCUGCUGCUGCUGUUGAGCUCCAGCAGCAGCAGCUUCUUGCUGCUGCUGCUCCAGCAGCAGCAGCAGCUGCUGAGCUGCCUGCUGCUGCUGCUACAG
This 258-nucleotide non-coding RNA is filed under the name Ananas comosus (pineapple). Lineage: Eukaryota; Viridiplantae; Streptophyta; Magnoliopsida; Poales; Bromeliaceae. The record is from Rfam by way of RNAcentral.